GACGAACGCUGGCGGCGCGCCUAACACAUGCAAGUCGAGCGAAGCGGCGAACGGGUGAGUAACGCGUGAGGAACCUGCCUCUCACAACGGGAUAGCCUCGGGAAACCGGGAUUAAUACCAAAUGGUCUAAGAUGGACUCGCGUCCCAUUAGCUAGUUGGUGAGGUAACGGCCCACCAAGGCGACGAUGGGUAGCCGGCCUGAGAGGGUGAACGGCCACAUUGGAACUGAGAAACGGUCCAAACUCUACGGGAGGCAGCAGUGGGGAAUAUUGCACAAUGGAGGGAACUCUGAUGCAGCGACGCCGCGUGAACGAAGAAGGCUUUCGAGUCGUAAAGUUCUUUUAUAUGGGAAGCGGUACCAGAAGAAAAAGCCCCGGCUAACUACGUGCCAGCAGCCGCGGUAAUUC
RNAcentral lists this ribosomal RNA (407 nucleotides) under uncultured bacterium. RNAcentral describes it as "partial 16S ribosomal RNA". It matches the Rfam family "Bacterial small subunit ribosomal RNA", at positions 28 to 526 of the family's 1533-position model. The record is from RNAcentral.